Molecule: long non-coding RNA, 947 nt
Organism: Scylla paramamosain (green mud crab)
Lineage: Eukaryota; Metazoa; Arthropoda; Malacostraca; Decapoda; Portunidae
Exons: 4
Source: RefSeq, a predicted model, not a curated record
UUUGUUCGAACCAGUGUCGACACGGCUAUGGUUCAGUUACUGGUUCAGUUGCCCGCGCCGCCGUCGCCUCCGCAUCAUUUUGGAAGAAGCGGCUGGCAGGGAAGGUAAAUACGCUCGUGGAAGCAGCGAGGAGUAAAAGGUUCGCGUGCUGGCUGCUGCGUGCUCUAGGCUUCGUGUGGCGGCUGGGUGUGUUUGACGUCACUCAAAUCUAAAUCUCGUGGCCAACCUCUAGAUGUUAACGACGUUCUUGGAGCACGCUGAUAAUCUGAUAAAAAGAAAAGCGGCAUGACCUUCCAAGGAUUUUGUCGUGUGAGGAGGGCGGCAGGGAGAGCUCAGGUGACGCUGCUCUACGAACUAUUGCAGCAGAUGACCAGCACUACGACUGUUUUGUUUCAUUAUUUACUCACCGACGUGGGGAGGCGUCUUCUCGUAGUGGCGGGGCUUCAAGUAUGGUCGGUGGUGCGACCUUCUUGGAGGUUGUUGUUGCUCGGUGCCCGUCGGCUCCAAGUCUUUGGUGCCACGAUGUUGUUGCGGUGUCUUCCCUCCCCCCACCCAAUUUACAUUUUUAUCAAUUUCAAAAUAGUAGUAGUAAUGAGCGUUGUAACACUUUAGAUAUAUAUAAUAUUUAUUAUAUAAUAUUGGGAAAUAACAUUGAAUAGUUAUAUAAUAAUAACACGGGUGAUUUCCGUGAAGCGUGCCUGUCGCCUAUGGUGCGAAAUAUUUCACUCGUCAAGGAAUGGGGUCAGGAACACAUUUUUCCUCAGAACAUUACUUAUUUCAUGAUAGGCAAAAUAUAUUCAGUUACUGACUGACUGUACUUGCUCCAUUCCUAUUGGAAAGAAAAUAGGAAACCGUUUCUAGCUAGGGUCCCAAAAACACAGGGAAUCCAUUGACGCACCAUCAUCCCCCAUCACUUCUCAUAUAAUUGGAAAAGAAAAAAAAAAAAA